GUGUGUAAUAAUCCUUAUUCAUUGCUAUGUUGUUAGAUUCUACAUCAUACAAUAAGAUGUAUGCAGCUUUAACUAAACCAAGGUUGAUUGUUGGAAUCAUGAAAGCUUCCCCAAUGUCUGAAACAAGUGCAUUGAAGGAAUUUCACUCAGUUCGCACCCAAAAUGAUCAGCUACUCUUUUCCUGGAAUGUUCUGCAGGUAUAUCCUUGCUGUAAAUCCCUUCAACAGCAAUUUGGACAGGGAUAAUCAAGAGGUUAAUGUAGUUCCCCAGGUUAAAGUGCAUUAUGCAAAAUUAAAUUAAAAAUGGUGAAGCUGUUGUAAGAAAUGUAAAAGUUGCUCAGGAUUUUGAGUAUGUUGAAGAAAAAUAUCAUCAAGUGUUGUGCUCUGCACUCAUUGAUGAGGAAACAUUGAGAAAAGCCAAAGGUGAUCUUUUUGAAUGACUCAAUUGCCAAUGAAUUCCAUGUUGGACAAGCAAUCAAGAAGUGGAGCUAUAUCAAAAAAAAGCAAGAAGACAAAGCAUGCCAGCUGUACAUUUUCCCCCAACUAAGCCAGGUUUUACAAAGAGGCAUUCCUUGCUUUGAGUUAAUUUGAAU
Xenia sp. Carnegie-2017 is the source of this 592-nucleotide long non-coding RNA. RefSeq lists it as uncharacterized. NCBI's taxonomy places the organism in Eukaryota, Metazoa, Cnidaria, Anthozoa, Malacalcyonacea, Xeniidae. The record is from RefSeq and is a predicted model, not a curated record. The transcript is spliced from 3 exons.